AGUGAACGCUGGCGGUAGGCCUAACACAUGCAAGUCGAACGGCAGCACAGUAAGAGCUUGCUCUUACGGGUGGCGAGUGGCGGACGGGUGAGGAAUACAUCGGAAUCUACUUUUUCGUGGGGGAUAACGUAGGGAAACUUACGCUAAUACCGCAUACGACCUACGGGUGAAAGCAGGGGAUCUUCGUACCUUGCGCGAUUGAAUGAGCCGAUGUCGGAUUAGCUAGUUGGCGGGGUAAAGGCCCACCAAGGCGACGAUCCGUAGCUGGUCUGAGAGGAUGAUCAGCCACACUGGAACUGAGACACGGUCCAGACUACUACGGGAGGCAGCAGUGGGGAAUAUUGGACAAUGGGCGCAAGCCUGAUCCAGCCAUACCGCGUGGGUGAAGAAGGCCUUCGGGUUGUAAAGCCCUUUUGUUGGGAAAGAAAAGCAGCAGGUUAAUACCCCGCUGUUCUGACGGUACCCAAAGAAUAAGCACCGGCUAACUUCGUG
This 492-nucleotide ribosomal RNA is filed under the name uncultured bacterium. Its description in RNAcentral is "partial 16S ribosomal RNA". It matches the Rfam family "Bacterial small subunit ribosomal RNA", at positions 29 to 507 of the family's 1533-position model. The record is from RNAcentral.